Molecule: non-coding RNA, 894 nt
Organism: Misgurnus anguillicaudatus (oriental weatherfish)
Lineage: Eukaryota; Metazoa; Chordata; Actinopteri; Cypriniformes; Cobitidae
Source: RefSeq, a predicted model, not a curated record
UAUUAAUGAGUUCUUUCUUAUCUUAAAUAACUUUUCAUUUUUCACUUCUUUUAUUUUUAAUGUCUAUAUAGUAUUCUCUACAAUCCCAAAUUCUGGAUUGACGCCCCAGUACCAGAGGGCACGCCAAUCCCAGAGAGCAUCCAUCUGAAAGCAGGUGAGGUAACACAAGAAAAACUAACAGGAUGGAGACUACCUGAUUCUUCACCUAUGGCCUCAGCUUCAAAUGCAAGAAGUCCAGCAACUGUCUGAGUUGGUGGAUAUUCUGUCAGAGACUGCGUGAACAAUGUUAUGAACAGAAUGAUGUCUAAUUGUCUUAUGGCAAAGUUCAAUAUGAGGGGUGGUGGACAUCUGGAAAAGAAGUCUUUUAAAGGCACACCUUUGUAUUAUGUUAUUCAAGAUGCUGUGAAGAGGUGGAGCCCAAAUGCCACAGACUCGGAAAUAGAUGCAGCUAUGGCAGACGACUUCAAGCACGCUCCAGGAAGAGCUGGGGGUUGUGAAUUCACUAAAUAAGCCAAACAGCUCUAAUGUGUAAAAGAGAGAGUUCACAAAAAAAUGAAAAUUGUUAUAAUUUUCUUACCCACAUGUUUCAAACAUGUAUACAUUUCUAUUUUCUGCUGAACACAAAGAUUGAAAAAUGUUUGUAACCAAGCUAACUGUCAAUAAUUUUUUUUUACAAUUGUAGUAAUGGGUUGUGAGAUCUGCUUUCUGCGUUCUAUUCUUUCAAAUAUCUUUGUGUUCAGCAGAACAUAGAAGGGUAUACAGGUUUGAAACAUAAGAGAGAGUAAAUUACUAAAUAAUCAUUUUUGGGUGAACUAUCCUUUUAUAUAGUAAAGUAUUUUGAAAUUGUUAUUAUAGUUAAACGGUUUAAAAAAAAUAAAAAGUGCUAAAUCAGAA